Aphis gossypii (cotton aphid) is the source of this 479-nucleotide long non-coding RNA. RefSeq lists it as uncharacterized. NCBI's taxonomy places the organism in Eukaryota, Metazoa, Arthropoda, Insecta, Hemiptera, Aphididae. The transcript is spliced from 4 exons. The record is from RefSeq and is a predicted model, not a curated record.
UGAUCUUGAUGAUAUUUGUUUUUAUAAUUGGUUCCAACAAACUAAACGCAAUAGAGCAGUUAGUAAUUUUGAAAGUCGUUUCCAAAAUCAAAUCCUACAUUGGUUCAGUUGUUUUAAAAAAUACGCCAUCAGAAUUUAUAUAUCAUUUCCGUGUGAGUCAUGAAAUAUUUGAAAUACUUUUGAUGUCAUUACCACCUAGAAGUAAAUCAAUAAGAGGAAGACCAUUAUUGGAUAAUUCUUUUUGUUUAAUAUUAACUCUAUGAUGUUGGCUAAUGAAAAGGAAACCUAUAGACAAACUAGAGAGCGGUUUGGAAUUAGUGAAAGUACUGCUUUUAGAGUCUUUAAAAGUACCAUUUCAUCGAUUUCUAACUUGGAAGAGAAAUACAUUGUAUGGCCCACAGAAUUGGCAGCCCAAAGAAACAUUAAUGGAUUUUAUAAUCUUAGAAAAGUGCCAUUUCCCGGAGCGUUUUGUGUAGUCG